RNAcentral lists this ribosomal RNA (433 nucleotides) under uncultured bacterium. RNAcentral's name for it is "partial 16S ribosomal RNA". It matches the Rfam family "Bacterial small subunit ribosomal RNA", at positions 29 to 507 of the family's 1533-position model. The record is from RNAcentral.
AGCGAACGCUGGCGCAGGCCUAAACAAUUCCAAGUGGACCGACCCUUCCGGGGUAAGGGCGGGCGGGGGAGUCACACCGUGGGAAGUUCCUUUUAGGUUGGGAUUACCUAGGGAAAAUUGGUCUUAAUACCAAUGUGGCCUUUCGGGGGAAGAUUUAUCGCCUUUAGAGCGGCCCGCGUCUGAUUAGCUAGUUGGUUGAGGUAAUGGCUCACCAAGGCGACGAUCAGUAGCUGGUCUGAGAGGAUGAUCAGCCACAUUGGGACUGAGACACGGCCCAAACUCCUACGGGAGGCAGCAGUGGGGAAUCUUGCGCAAUGGGCGAAAGCCUGACGCAGCCAUGCCGCGUGAAUGAUGAAGGUCUUAGGAUUGUAAAAUUCUUUCACCGGGGACGAUAAUGACGGUACCCGGAGAAGAAGCCCCGGCUAACUUCGUG